UACGACUACAUAUCAGGCAUAUCAAUAAGCGGAGGAAAAGAAACUAACUAGGAUUCCCUCAGUAACGGCGAGUGAAGCGGGAAGAGCUCAAAUUUGAAAUCUUCAAGGUUUUACCUUGACGAAUUGUAGUUUAUAGAAGUGUUUUCUGUUAGUGGAGUUUGGUAAAAGUUCUUUGGAAUAGGACAUCAUAGAGGGUGAGAAUCCCGUAUUUGGUACCAUUACUUCCUAGCGUUGUGAUACACUUUCAAAGAGUCGGAUUGUUUGGGAAUGCAGUCCAAAAUGGGUGGUAAAUUUCAUCUAAAGCUAAAUAUUGGCGAGAGACCGAUAGCGAACAAGUACCGUGAGGGAAAGAUGAAAAGAACUUUGAAAAGAGAGUUAAACAGUACGUGAAAUUGUCAAAAGGGAAGCGUUUGACACCAGUGUUGUUUUCUCGAAAAUCAAUUAAAAAUGACCGGAUUUUGUGUUGUAUUGACUUUAUCAGCUUUCUGCACUUUUUUCUUGUCUUUUUUAAUGCACUUUUCGUUUAACAAGUCAACAUCAAUUUCUUUUGUUGUAAAAGGGUCAUUGGAAGGUGGCUUUCACUUCGGUGAAAGUGUUUAUAGCCUUUGACUUCUGCAAUCGGAGAGAUUGAGGUCAUGCAGCGUAGAUCCUUCGGGGUUAGAUACGAUUGUGCUAAGUUAUAGUUUUUCAUAGACAACAUGUUGACUAUGAUUAAUCAUGUAGCUUACUCGCUUAUGCUAUUUUACCUACGCUUAGGAUGUUGAAUCUGUGCGAGACUAC
RNAcentral lists this ribosomal RNA (780 nucleotides) under uncultured Neocallimastigales. RNAcentral describes it as "partial large subunit ribosomal RNA". It matches the Rfam family "Eukaryotic large subunit ribosomal RNA", at positions 24 to 644 of the family's 3401-position model. The record is from RNAcentral. Lineage: Eukaryota; Fungi; Neocallimastigomycota; Neocallimastigomycetes; Neocallimastigales.